AAAAGGGAAUUCUUCCGGGGAAUGAAUGGGGUUUGGUGCUUGGAACCAGCCGGGUCAGCAGGAAGGGCAGCCCUCCAGGCCCUGCCCAGCCCACGGAUGGGGGCGCUCAUUAUGCAGAUUGGACUUGGCCUCUGCCUGUGACCAUAGAAACCCAACCAGUUCUCUUUCAACCGUGCUCUGCGGAAGGGUUAUUUAACUCUGGCGCCCGAGGACCAGCCGCGCAGACCCUCCUCUUCUCGGAACACCCAGGGCACUCGGCCCUCAGCAUCCGGCUGAGAUGGGAUGCCACUCCAGCAAGAGCACCCAGGUGGCGGGGGAGUCUCAGAAGCCUGGAGAACAGCCCGCGGGAGAAGAGCCAGAUCUGGAGGCUGGCACUGAGGCAGCAGAUGGCAAAGACGCCUCCUUACAGGAUGGCGUCCCUGAGCCGAAGAGCUGAGAGGCUUUCCUCUGGAGUCAGACCCUCGCCUCAUUCCUGGAACUGCCUUUGGCCAAGGAGACAUGAGACAAGCCCCAUCCUGAGAAGCUCCGAAUAGAGGGAGGAGAGAGAAAUCCCCCCUUUGGGAUUCAGGCUUCCGAAGCUACCUUCAUCAGGCUUUGCUCAUUGGAGUGUCCAGGAAGGUGAGGCCGUGAGGAAUCCUAUUUACCCAGCUCUCCUGUAGAGAGGACAAAAGAAGUCAUCACACAUUGUGGGCCUUUCCCACAGCUUCUGGAAAUGGAAGAGCCCCAUGGCAGACUGUUCUGGCUUUCCUGAAUACCUGCAGCUGAGCUGUGACUGUCCAGUGACCCCCACCUGCCUCUCUCUGAACCCUGAAAGCUCUGUGGCCAUGGUGUUGAUUGGGGUGUGAGGCUCUCAGCUCUCUCUCUCUCCUUUUUUUCAAUAGCUGGCUGAAUAGCCAACGUCCCUAACAGGAAGAUUUUGCGUUUGGCUCACUCCACACUGUUUGUAUGAAUAAUUUAAUAUUUAACUUGGAGAAUUGUUAAUGAAUUAUGGGAACAAUCAGGAUCAGACUGUGGUCAUGUAGAUGGAAGGCAACAAGGCCUUGAUCAUCCAGAGUGUGAUGACCCUGGGCAGAGAGUCUAUGCUGCUAGCCAUCAUAAAGAACAACUGAAAGAUCAGAGUAUACGGCAUUGCUCCAGUCUUUGCUGCAUAUCCCAUAUAACAAAAGACUAUCAGGAACUAAGACCAGAUGGAUGCCCCCACCCAGAUACCAGCCCUAUACAUAACUGGCCUGUAGUCUUUGUUCUGGAAGAUGGUUCUUUCAGACAUGAGUCGGCCAUUUUCCCCCUUGCUAGCAAGCUGUAAUAAAAAGUCCUUUCUUUCCUACCGCUGUAAGUGAGCAUAAGCAAAGCCAUCUUGUUACACUAAAUGGCCCCAGCCCCUCCUCUGUGUGACUACUCGCUGCUCUGCACGUACUCCAAAAAAUUCACAUGCUCUCCUGAUUUAUGGCCUCCACUUACGUAUGUACGCCCCAAUAACUUGAUAAAUUAAAACUUUGUUCUAUGAGUUUUU
Diceros bicornis minor is the source of this 1510-nucleotide RNA transcript. It is a transcript of the gene named CHD9 neighbor, with no coding region annotated. The record is from RefSeq and is a predicted model, not a curated record. Lineage: Eukaryota; Metazoa; Chordata; Mammalia; Perissodactyla; Rhinocerotidae. The transcript has 2 exons.